Myotis lucifugus (little brown bat) is the source of this 58-nucleotide non-coding RNA. Lineage: Eukaryota; Metazoa; Chordata; Mammalia; Chiroptera; Vespertilionidae. The record is from Rfam.
UGGCUCAGUGGAUAGAGCAUCAGUCUGUGGACUGAAGGGUCCCAGGUUCGAUUCCUGG